Molecule: long non-coding RNA, 339 nt
Filed under: Amborella trichopoda
Lineage: Eukaryota; Viridiplantae; Streptophyta; Magnoliopsida; Amborellales; Amborellaceae
Description: long non-coding RNA (ATRI_LNC004837)
Source: RNAcentral
AAAAGCCAUUACACAACAUCUAUGAGCGAAAAUAAACAGUGUUUUGCCCAUAGGCUCAGUGCCAUCCGAUUUUUUUGGAUGGCGUGGAAAAAUCGACGCAUCAGAUAUACUAUGUCCAUUGCAAUACAGUCGAUUUAUCACGUGAAACUGCAACGGCUCUACAAGAGCUGUUGGGACUUUUUAGGCCAAACCACAAUGCCUUGCAGCUUUACGAGAGCCGUUGUGGGGCAAAAACACUGUACACUUUCACCUAUUGUAUUUUUAAGACUUUUCUUAAAACAAUUAUGUAAAUAUAAUUAGAAUCAUUGAUAAAUAUUAUGAAUACGUUUUAUAUGUAAU